This is a long non-coding RNA of Eucalyptus grandis, 3815 nucleotides long. RefSeq lists it as uncharacterized. The transcript is spliced from 3 exons. The record is from RefSeq and is a predicted model, not a curated record. Lineage: Eukaryota; Viridiplantae; Streptophyta; Magnoliopsida; Myrtales; Myrtaceae.
AGGAUCUGCAAGUUAGAUCUGAGGGACUCAUGUGAGAAUCGUCGGCUGGAGAGGCUGGAUUCGGGAAAUUGGCAGUACUACGGCUCAGGCCUUCAUCGUGGGUGUGAUUUACGGUGGUUUGGGCUGUUGUUCUGUCAUCCUCAAAGGUAGGGUAGUUUCCUAGUUGGAAGCAGUCAUUUGUCAAGGGGGAUUCCGGUCUCGUCCAUUGCUCACAACUUCAGGAUGAGUGUGCCCUGGAAUGGAUUUGUUGGGUACCCAUUGGCAUCUCCAGGAAGCAAAUGCAAGUGAAUCGAUGUUUCUCCAGACUGGCUCGGCUGUUGAUUUACUUGAAUUCGGUUCUGGUAUAGUGGAGGGGCUUGGGGGUUCAUCGGGUUGCUUUUGGAAGAGGUCCCCUAGGAGAGCUGAUGGGGAUUUUUCUGUAUUCACACAGUCCCCACUUUGAGAAAUUUUAGUUACAAAGGAGGCGUCAAUAUUAAUGAGGAAUGUGCCAAGGUUUGGAGGUUGCCACUUUUGAGCUGAGGUGCCCUGUUUCUAAUAUUUCGCCUGCUUUACAUUCCAAUUCGCAAAACUGUCAUGUGAUGUUGAAGCAUUGAAUGGGGUACUAAGCGGGUUCAGGGGGUUUUGCCGAAAUAUAAAAUGGUUUUUGUCCUUCCAAAUCCACCAUAGGACCAAUCCGAGCUAGGCAAAUGUUGGGAAUAGGCAUUCCAGAUCAGAGACGUCCAUGGACACAGUAACGGGGUGUGCUCUACUGUUUCUGGUUCAAGUUUGCAAAUUGGACAAGUUGGGGCAGAUACUACUUUCCUCUUGAACAAGUUUUCCAUGGUUGGCAAUGCGUUCUAACAUGCAUUCCAUAGGAAGAAUUUAAUCUUGGGUGUAAUUACCGACUUCCAGAUAAGCUUCCACAAUUCUGGUUUUGGUUGGUAAGAUGUGGUUGGAGUGGAUGAUUGUGGAUUGACUUUAUUACUCCGGUGACUGUGGUAACCACUUCUCACUGUAUAAUUUCCCGACUUAUUACCCGUCCAAACUAGUUUAUCUUCUGUAGAGGGGAGGCCUAUAGGUAUGCUUUUGAUCUCCAUUACUAACUACUCAUCGAACAUAGUCCUCAGCAGGUUUUCAUUCCAUCGCGUUGUUUCCAUUUCUAUUAACUCAGCAACUUUGCGUGGCUCAUUUCUGGUUCUUGUGCCACCUAUAGGUCCGUUUUUAAGCCAUUUGUCUUCUCUAAUGGAGAUUCUUUUUUCCGUUUCCUACCACCCACCUAAGUUGUGGGGCAAUAACAUCUAUCCUUGUUAGUAGACUUUGUCAUCCCCAUGAAGAAUUUGAUCCUUUCCCUGUUUGCCAAAACUCGCAAUUAGGGUAGUAUAACCCCUUCAUAAUUCUGCUCCCAAGAGUUUCUGGAUGUUGGGACAUUCGCCAUGUUUGUUUACCUAACAUCGCUUUAAUUAAAUGCAUUGAGGUCUUUAAAGCCAAGUCCCCCUUCCUUCUUCAAAGCCUUUAAGGUUUUCCAUCUUUUCCAAUGUAAACCAGUUGAUUUAUUGCUAUUCCUCCACCAGAAAUUAGCUAUUUGUUUUUCUAUAGCUUUGCAAAUGGAUACUGGGAUUUUAAACACUGACAUCGCAUAUUGAGGAAUCGCCUGCACCACAGAUUUAAUAAGUAUUUCUUUUCCUACUUUUGAUAACAGGUUUUCUUUCCAACUCUCCAAUUUCAUGUUGACCUUUGCAAGAAUCCAUGCAAACAUAUCCUUCUUGGUAGCACCCCAAUCUGACGGAACUCUCAUUUAUUUACCUGUUUUAAGAAUCUCUGGAACUCUCAACUCUGCUGCCAUAUUCCUCUUUAAGCUGUUCGGACAACCUUUGCUGAAAUAGAUGCCUGAUUUGUUUAAGUUUAUGGCUUGUCCUGAAGCAUAACAAUAUUUAUGUAAGAUGGAUGCCAUAUUUUGACAUUCUAGGACCGUUCCAUUAAGGAAGAAUAUAUAAUCAUCCGCGAAUAGUAGAUGGGAGAGUGUAGGGCAAUUUCAGUUUAACUUUAUUCCCCUGAGAGACCCAGCUACUAUAGCUUCUUUCAUCUUAUAGGAGAGGACAUUAGCCACUAUAAUAAAGAGAUAGGGGGAAAGCGGAUCCCCUUGACAGAUUCCUCAGGUUGGCUUGAAAUAUGGUGUAGGAUCUCCAUUGAAUCUUAUACUGAAGGAGACCAUAGACACACUGCAUGAUCCACUGUACCCAUUUUCCACAGAAACAGAUCUUUGUAAGGCAUUCUUUAAGAAAGUCUCAUUCUAUUCGAUCAUAUGCCUUUUGCAUGUCUAAUUUUAGAACUGCUUGGAACCGCUUUCUUCCUUUCUCUAGUUCUUACUUUGUGUAGAACUUCCUGCACAAUCAGGAUGUUGUCUUGAAUUUGCAUUCCUCUACAAAGGCACUUUGUUCUGCUGUUAUUAGAUCUGGAAGCAACGGUUUGAGCCAGUUUGUGAGGAUUUUAGAAAUGAUUUUGUAUGCAAAGUUGCAAAGACUGAUUGGGCAAAAUUGUUCCAGCUUUUCAGAGUUAGGUAUUUUGGGAAUAAGGACGAUAGCGGUUUUGUUUAGGUUAAGGUUAAGUAUUCUAGUCUCAAAGAAUUGUUGAAUCUCUGUGAACAAGUCGUGGUUGAUAACCUGCCAGUGAUUUUGGAAGAAUAUCCCAUUAAUUCCAUCCGGUCCAGGGGCCUUAGAAGCCCCUAGUUGAUAAGUAGCUGCUGUAAUUUCCUGCAUGGUGACAAAUUCUGAUAGUUUUUGAUUCAUAGUAGUGUCAACCAAGAUAGGUAUGUUGUUUAGAAUAGGCUGGAAGUUUCUAGGUCCCACUGUGGUAUAAAAAUUAGUAAAAAAACUCACAUGUCAUAUUCUUGAGAGUAUUUUCAUCUCUGACCCAAGUUCCAGCUGCAUCUUUAAGCAUAGAGAUUCGGUUAUAAGUCCUCUUUUGAAUGGUUAUUGCAUGAAAAAAUUUCAUGUUCCUAUCGCCCCAUUUUAGCCAGUUCACCCUUGAUCGCAUACCCUAGUACAUUUCCUCCUGUCUCCAUAAAUGUUCUACCUCUUUUUGCAACUGUUUGAUUCUCUAGCUGUCCUCAGAUAACUCGAGCCUGUUUGCAAGUACUGAAGUUCAUUUCUCAGCAUUUCUACUCUUUUUUGUGCAUUAGGGAAACUUUUUUUGCUCCAUUAAGCUAAUUGGUUUGACAUUUGUCUGAGUUUCUCAACUAAGUCUGCUCCAGUAGAAGCUGAAUUACACCAGGCUAUUUUUACUAUUUGCUCACAUUCCUCGUCUUCAUCCCAAAAGGCCUCAUAUCGGAAUUCUUUUUUCCUGUUUUUCCUUCUUGGGAAGACUAACAAAAGCAGGGGGCUAUGGUCUGAUCCAAUAGCUGGCAUGGCUACCACUUCCGCAUUUGGAUAUUCAAUUCUCCACUCCAUUGUAGAUAACGCCCUAUUUAGCCUCUUUUUCACUAAUUCCUCCCCUUCUCUUCGAUUAUUCCAAGUGAAAACACACCCCUUUGAUUCCAAAUCCAUGAGAGAACAAGCAUGUAAGAAGUCUCGAAAUGCUGUGAGCCUGUAGUGUUCUGCCUCCUUCUUCCUUACUUUCUCCCAGGGAUAUAAAAUUUCAUUAAAAUCCGCCAUAUAUAACCAUGGUAGUGUAGUGGCAGCAUUGACUUUUUGUAUUUCUUCCCAUAAUAACACUCUAUCUUUAAAUUCAAUUGGUGCAUGCAAAAGAGUAAUAUGCAUUAACUGUUUGUUUUCCUGCAGGUGACAAAGAAGGUGAAUGAAAUGGUCUGUAACUACUUCCACCGAUAUGUCUACUUGAUU